RNAcentral lists this ribosomal RNA (970 nucleotides) under Klebsiella sp. RPWC4.3. RNAcentral's name for it is "bacterial SSU rRNA". It matches the Rfam family "Bacterial small subunit ribosomal RNA", at positions 511 to 1487 of the family's 1533-position model. Lineage: Bacteria; Pseudomonadati; Pseudomonadota; Gammaproteobacteria; Enterobacterales; Enterobacteriaceae. The record is from RNAcentral.
GCANCNCNGUAUACNGAGGUGCNAGCGUNAUCGGANUACUGGGCGUAAAGCGCACGCAGGCGGUCUGUCAAGUCGGAUGUGAAAUCCCCGGGCUCAACCUGGGAACUGCAUUCGAAACUGGCAGGCUGGAGUCUNGUAGAGGGGGGUAGAAUUCCAGGUGUAGCGGUGAAAUGCGUAGAGAUCUGGAGGAAUACCGGUGGCGAAGGCGGCCCCCUGGACAAAGACUGACGCUCAGGUGCGAAAGCGUGGGGAGCAAACAGGAUUAGAUACCNUGGUAGUCCACGCUGUAAACGAUGUCGACUUGGAGGUUGUUCCCUUGAGGAGUGGCUUCCGGAGCUAACGCGUUAAGUCGACCGCCUGGGGAGUACGGCCGCAAGGUUAAAACUCAAAUGAAUUGACGGGGGCCCGCACAAGCGGUGGAGCAUGUGGUUUAAUUCGAUGCAACGCGAAGAACCUUACCUACUCUUGACAUCCACAGAACUUAGCAGAGAUGCUUUGGUGCCUUCGGGAACUCUGAGACAGGUGCUGCAUGGCUGUCGUCAGCUCGUGUUGUGAAAUGUUGGGUUAAGUCCCGCAACGAGCGCAACCCUUAUCCUUUGUUGCCAGCGAUUCGGUCGGGAACUCAAAGGAGACUGCCAGUGAUAAACUGGAGGAAGGUGGGGAUGACGUCAAGUCAUCAUGGCCCUUACGAGUAGGGCUACACACGUGCUACAAUGGCAUAUACAAAGAGAAGCGACCUCGCGAGAGCAAGCGGACCUCAUAAAGUAUGUCGUAGUCCGGAUUGGAGUCUGCAACUCGACUCCAUGAAGUCGGAAUCGCUAGUAAUCGUGGAUCAGAAUGCCACGGUGAAUACGUUCCCGGGCCUUGUACACACCGCCCGUCACACCAUGGGAGUGGGUUGCAAAAGAAGUAGGUAGCUUAACCUUCGGGAGGGCGCUUACCACUUUGUGAUUCAUGACUGGGGGAAGUC